Molecule: long non-coding RNA, 659 nt
Organism: Wyeomyia smithii (pitcher-plant mosquito)
Lineage: Eukaryota; Metazoa; Arthropoda; Insecta; Diptera; Culicidae
Exons: 3
Source: RefSeq, a predicted model, not a curated record
CCUGCCAUAAGUUGAAAAAUAUCUGUAGCUGAAGCACAUGGAGUUCCGAUGUGUUUCUAUAUUGGAAGUAACUUGAGUGUGCGCACAGUGAAUUUUUUUAUCUAUCCUGUUUAUUCUUUGUUCAAGAUGUUUGGCCAAGGGAUCAAUGGUGAUGUUUCAAAAAUUCGCUUAGUUCUCAUUCAUUCCUUCCAAUAUAGUAGCCCAUCAUUCGGUGGUACGAGAUCCUGAUAUGUGAUUACCAGUUAUUUUAGGUUAUGCCUUCAAGUCGGCGGCUGAGAAAACGCCUAAGAAUUUACCCUUCAAAUCUGAAACUUCAUAUGAGCUACUGCCUUUCUUCCCGAUGAUGAUGCAGGGCGCAUACUGGGGUCCGAGUUUGGCGUUAAAGUUAUCACCUGAGGAAGACUGGCGAAAGGAUCGCUUAUAAACUCGUUGUCCCACAUCGAAUGUCGAUUUUAAAAAUCCACGCAACUUUCGUUCCUGCUUGCUGCGCGAUUCGUUCAUCAUUUCCGCACCGCGGAUCUGUAGUUCAUGAUCCAGUUCAUCGUUGGUUAAAUGGGCCACAUUCAUCGUGUAAUAUUUCGUGAGAAGGUGUUGCUGUUCCAUUGCAAAAUUUGUAACAAACACACUCAAGCCACUGAAUGUUAAUUAAGGAAAAUAAA